This 293-nucleotide ribosomal RNA is filed under the name uncultured bacterium. RNAcentral's name for it is "partial 16S ribosomal RNA". It matches the Rfam family "Archaeal small subunit ribosomal RNA", at positions 455 to 747 of the family's 1478-position model. The record is from RNAcentral.
GUGCCAGCCGCCGCGGUAAUACCGGCAGCACAAGUGAUGGCCGAUUUUAUUGGGCCUAAAGCGUCCGUAGCUGGCCGAGCAAGUCCGUCGGGAAAUCCAGUGGCUCAACCUCUGGGCUUUCGGCGGAAACUGUUCGGCUUGGGACCGGAAGACUCGAGGGGUACGUUCGGGGUAGGAGUGAAAUCCUGUAAUCCUGAACGGACCACCGAUGGCGAAAGCACCUCGAGAGCACGGAUCCGACAGUGAGGGACGAAAGCUAGGGUCUCGAACCGGAUUAGAUACCCCUGUAGUCC